UGUCUAUUGGAAGUUUCUUUGAGGAUAUGAUUGAUAAUUUAGAGCGGAUGGCCUGUUAAAUAACUUGGAUUUUAAUAGAUUAUUUUCUCUUUUAACGGUUGGGGUUUCCGGCCCAGCGCAACCCGGCCUUCGCGCGCGCACAGGGUUUCCAAUAUUCGAAAAUAAAACAUUUCCGAAUAACUCCGAUGAGAGCCGGCUAGCAGGCUAUCUCGAAAAUGAAUUCGCUUGACGUCUGGCAGAACUCAGGAAAUAUCUUUCAAGUUUUUCAAAUGUCUUGCAAGCAGCGUUUUUAUGACCGUUUUUUUUUUACUUUUUUGCGCACAAGUCCAAGGGCCUACCUACACGCACUCGUUGUAAACCAUUUAAUUUUAUUUUCGGUGGUUCCCUGUUCAAUUAGACGAUAUUUUCGUUUCGUAAAACCCCAUGACGGCGGACGACACUGGUGAGCUCGAUACAUCAUUGCAUGAAAUGAAUUUGGAUGGUCUAAGUGUUCUGGCACUCAUUUGAACUCAUACUGCUCUGGUUGGAUUGUAUUUAUCACAAAUAUACACUUUCAGAUAUAUAAUUCGAGCACAUAUUGUCUUUAUGUUCCCUAGAAGAAGCUCAAAAGCGAGGAAGUCACUAUUCGCACAUGACCUUACGCCGAAUUUCAAACUCCAGGAAAGUUUUUAGGCUAUUUCUGCAGUUGUCAUGUGCACAUGGAAUUUUACAGGCAAGAAAUUCAGUAUGGAUAGGUCCUUUUUCGUCUGUGAAAAUUCGUAACAUUUUUGCUCGCCGAUUUCGUCCGCCAUCUUGGAUCUGUAAUCUGCCAGUCGUUAUUUUUUUCCGUCCUCGCUUCAGGAUUCCUGUGGAUGUCCACGCAACAGCAGAUAACGACUGGGUACGAGUCUGAUACGGAUAUGCCCCCCAAAAUCCACUCUCUAUAAUCAUCUCGCGCAUGCGUGGUAUUUUCCGCUGAACGGCUGUCUCACCGGCGCGAGAAUGACCUGCAAAAUUAGACUUGCUCUUCGCUCGCGAGCAAUAAUACUUUAUGAGCACUGCCUUAAACACGAAGGCGCGGUAUAAAAAGGUGCUUCCAUUGGAAGCAUCGGCUCAUUUGUCAAUCAACCACCGUGGAGUGAGGAUCAAAAUUCAAGAUGGCAGCACGAGUCAAGUACAAAAUGUAGAGGGGAGACGUUUCAAAGCGCUUCCUGAUGUAUAAAAAUGCCAAUUCUACCUUCUAGUCCGAUAGAAUGUGUAAAAAAGGAAACUCAGUAUAAAUAAAGCUACGAAACCAUCGUGAUUUACGCUAAAGAACGAGCAAAUGCAGGAUCGGAAAACAAAGAUUUCAAACCUCGAAAAAAGCUAUACCCAAGAAGUCAUGGUGACAUCUGAAUAAUCAACACGAUAUAUUUCUCAAGAAAAAGCAGAUACAUAGGCAUAUACAGUAUUACAUUUCCCUGUGAUUUUAAAUCAUAAACAUUCCUUUAUAAAGGAAACAUGUUUUGUUGCUAUCAAAUUGAUUUAUGUAUUACUGAAGCGUGUUUAACGAUACCGUAGACCCAAAUGGCUUCAUUUCGGGUGAAUAUUUUUUACUAUGCCAUUCGAAAACAAUAGGCAAAAACAAUAGGCAAAAAACAAUAGGCAAAAAAACACCAAAAUCUUAAAUACUCCGCCAGAUAUUCAAGAAAAAACGAAUUCGAACGAGUGUCAGGGUUCGCACAAGUCCUCGAAAACCUUGAAAGUGCUUGAAUUUUAAAAUUUGAACUUCAAGGUCUGGAAAGUGCUGGAAUUCUUAUUAUCAGUCCUUGAAAGUCCUUGAAAAUAUUUGAUUAAAGAAACAAAAGCAAA
Long non-coding RNA from Nematostella vectensis (starlet sea anemone), 1830 nucleotides. RefSeq lists it as uncharacterized. The transcript is spliced from 2 exons. The record is from RefSeq and is a predicted model, not a curated record. Lineage: Eukaryota; Metazoa; Cnidaria; Anthozoa; Actiniaria; Edwardsiidae.